GACGAACGCUGGCGGCGUGCUUAACACAUGCAAGUCGAACGGAAAGGCCCUGCUUUUGUGGGGUGCUCGAGUGGCGAACGGGUGAGUAACACGUGAGUAACCUGCCCUUGACUUUGGGAUAACUUCAGGAAACUGGGGCUAAUACCGGAUAGGAGCUCCUGCUGCAUGGUGGGGGUUGGAAAGUUUCGGCGGUUGGGGAUGGACUCGCGGCUUCUCCGCUUGUUGGUGGGGUAGUGGCUUACCAAGGCUUUGACGGGUAGCCGGCCUGAGAGGGUGACCGGCCACAUUGGGCCUGCGAUACGGCCCAGACUCCUACGGGAGGCAGCAGUGGGGAAUAUUGCACAAUGGGCGGAAGCCUGAUGCAGCAACGCCGCGUGCGGGAUGACGGCCUUCGGGUUGUAAACCGCUUUCGCCUGUGACGAAGCGUGAGUGACGGUAAUGGGUAAAGAAGCACCGGCUAACUACGUG
RNAcentral lists this ribosomal RNA (468 nucleotides) under uncultured bacterium. RNAcentral's name for it is "partial 16S ribosomal RNA". It matches the Rfam family "Bacterial small subunit ribosomal RNA", at positions 28 to 507 of the family's 1533-position model. The record is from RNAcentral.